This 467-nucleotide ribosomal RNA is filed under the name uncultured bacterium. Its description in RNAcentral is "partial 16S ribosomal RNA". It matches the Rfam family "Bacterial small subunit ribosomal RNA", at positions 28 to 507 of the family's 1533-position model. The record is from RNAcentral.
GACGAACGCUGGCGGCGUGCUUAACACAUGCAAGUCGAACGGAAAGGCCUCUUUCGGGGGGUACUCGAGUGGCGAACGGGUGAGUAACACGUGAGUAACCUGCCCUUGACUUUGGGAUAACUUCAGGAAACUGGGGCUAAUACCGGAUAGGAGCUCCUGCUGCAUGGUGGGGGUUGGAAAGUUUCGGCGGUUGGGGAUGGACUCGCGGCUUAUCAGCUUGUUGGUGGGGUAGUGGCUUACCAAGGCUUUGACGGGUAGCCGGCCUGAGAGGGUGACCGGCCACAUUGGGACUGAGAUACGGCCCAGACUCCUACGGGAGGCAGAAGUGGGGAAUAUUGCACAAUGGGUGGAAGCCGGAUGCAGCAACGCCGUGUGCGGGAUGACGGCCUUCGGGUUGUAAACCGCUUUCGCUCAUGACGAAGCUUUGUGUGACGGUAGUGGGUAAAGAAGCACCGGCUAACUACGUG